GCACGUCGAAUCGUGCAAUGCUCUUAUUAAUUAUGCAGCCACGCGUUGGCGCCAUGGCGGGUUGGGCAGGUAGUUACAUGCCCCUCUAUCAUUUCUAGCACCAUAUUUAAAAGGCGCACAGAUAGCCAUUCAUUCAUCGUGCCAGGACUUUAAGACUCAGAAAAUGUCUACGAGAAGGCAGCAACAAGCCCCCUGCUUCAGCGAUGCCUCCCUGAAGAUUCUCCUCCAGGCCAUCCAGGAAAGGUGGGACACCCUCUUUCCAAGGGAUGACAGCAGGAGGCCUAUUCAUCUGACCACGGUGGCCUGGGAGGAGAUCACUGGGGUGGUCAGUGUACAUGGGGCUCAAAAAAGACAAUGCAGGAAACGGAUGCAUGAUAUCAUCUAUGUCGCUAGGGAGAAGGCAGCCCACAACAGCAGGGAGAGAGAGAAGACGGGAGGUGGGAUGCCUGAGCUCAGAUCCCUCACUCAGUUUGAGCCGGAGACUGCUGAACUGGCAGGCAAGGAUUGAGACCAUGCCUCUACCAAUAGCAAGUUUAGGUGCUGGUAGGAAGAGGAAGAGGCCAGCCUCUGUCUCAGAAAUAAGCCCCAGUCCUUAGGAGACCUCAGAGGAAGACAACGAUGACUUCACAACUGUAGAGCUGUCACAGCUUUCACCUGCGCCCUCCACCGGCAGGUCAUAUAUCUAGUUUAGGUUCAGGGUCACACUCUGGUGGUCACCUCACAGCCAUGUGUCCACAGCAGGAGGAAGCAGUGACAGCCAAGGUCUUUGGCACUUGGAGGAUCAUUGGAGAAAAGGCACCUGCCAAGUCAGAGUGAGAUGAUGAGCCUCUGGAAGCGACCAAAGAAAAGUAUGCUAGAAAUUCAGAGAGACGCAUGGGAACAUCAGUUAGAGAUGUUAGAGGCCCUUAACAGAGUGGCACGAGAGAUGGAGGAGUCCAUUUCCGUGCUCCCUGAUUAUGUGGUUAUGGCAUGUGAGUACAUGGAAGUGUCCAAGUGGAAGAUGACGGAUACCAUGGAGACGCAAGUCCAGCAGUUUCUGCUAGAUAUGCGCUGAGACCUGUGCAUCAUUGCUGUAGUCAUGGCUGUGUUCCAGCAGUUGCUUGGCAUGAGGGGGAUGGGGCACCUUGACUUCCCUCCAGAUGCCCCUACCACUCAAGGAGUCAGGGAGGGGCCCUUGGGCAUUCAAAGAGAGGAGGGGGCAUCCACCCUGGACACUCUGCGGGUGUUGUGGCAUUCUCAAUCCCCUCUACCUGUGUCGCCUUCAGCUCCGCUGCAGAGGGUGCACCUGGCCCUGAACAGGAGACCCAGAGAAGACUGGGGCUUUCUGGGCCUCGGAUCUCCAGAGGACACCCGUGAAAGCCAUCGCAGACAAGAGGGCAUAGUAGUCAACAGGCUGCCUCCAACUCUGCUGUGGAUGUUGGGAACACACCCAGACAAAGAGGUAGAGUUAGAA
Carcharodon carcharias (great white shark) is the source of this 1453-nucleotide long non-coding RNA. RefSeq lists it as uncharacterized. The transcript has 3 exons. The record is from RefSeq and is a predicted model, not a curated record. NCBI's taxonomy places the organism in Eukaryota, Metazoa, Chordata, Chondrichthyes, Lamniformes, Lamnidae.